CUGAAUGGUGCUCCCUCCGCUAUGCGCAGCAGCUGACCACUCACACCAGCCUGCUCAUGCCCCUGGUCUAUAACCCGGACAUACGGGGUGGACUAACGCCAGCAGACAUAUAGAACUUUGCACGGACUGACUGGACAUACAUGCACCAAUGGUGCGAAAUUGGCACUUUAAAAAACCCUGGCAGACCUGCUCCCUGACACCACCCCAACGGGCCUCGAUCAGUUCCAUUACUUCCAAAUCAAGUCCUACUACUCCACCACGGUAGCCAAACACUAAUUCCACCGAGACUUUACACGCUUUGAGAAGUUAUGCACGACCAGGCGUCAUAUGGAGAGAGGAAUUUCGGCGCUAUACGCGAUGCUACUGGAAGGUGAGAACAG
This is a non-coding RNA of Pelobates cultripes (western spadefoot toad), 380 nucleotides long. Lineage: Eukaryota; Metazoa; Chordata; Amphibia; Anura; Pelobatidae. The record is from the annotation of a GenBank genome assembly.